This 73-nucleotide transfer RNA is filed under the name Schizosaccharomyces japonicus. Its description in RNAcentral is "tRNA-Gln". It matches the Rfam family "tRNA". Rfam says of the family: Transfer RNA (tRNA) molecules are approximately 80 nucleotides in length. Lineage: Eukaryota; Fungi; Ascomycota; Schizosaccharomycetes; Schizosaccharomycetales; Schizosaccharomycetaceae. The record is from RNAcentral.
UGGAUCGUAGACUAAUAGGUAAGUCACUGAAAUUUGAGUUCAGUUUAUGAAAGUUCGAAUCUUUCCGUUCCAU